Molecule: long non-coding RNA, 822 nt
Organism: Anolis carolinensis (green anole)
Lineage: Eukaryota; Metazoa; Chordata; Lepidosauria; Squamata; Anolidae
Exons: 2
Source: RefSeq, a predicted model, not a curated record
GAGGAAUUGGGUGCCACUGGCAAUGAUGGGAUGGAAGAUGAUUGGGGACCUUCAGGACUAGACCCAUGGACAAGCUGGAGGGAUGGGACGGGAUCCACAGCUGGGGAUGCUGUGGGGCGUAGUCAGAGGUGUUCCAGCUCUGAUGAGGAAAGUGAUGAGGAAACGCCCGGGUUAAGGAGGGCAGCUGAUAGUGAUGAGGACUUGUAACUGGCAUAAAAUGGGGUUUGGGAGCAAUUGCAAAUUGCGUUGGGCAAGGUAAUCUGGACGAACGCUUGGGAUCUGUGUGGGACGUUUUCCUGAAGACGGGUGUGUUUCGUGUGCUGACUACCUUUGACCUUCCGUCGUCUUCUUGACGGACGCCAUCUGCUACUCUGGAUUUACGGACUGAACUGACUACGGGCUCGGAUUCUCCUACCUGGACUUGGUGAACUACAAACGUCUGCUUCUGCCUUACGACCUUCGGAAAGAACUGGGACUACGCUACUGCUUCAAUCCUCGGCUGUUGUGUUUGUAUUGGAACCUUGCCUGCUGUGUGGAGGAGUAACUUCUAAGUUACUCAAAACAUAGUGCUGGCAGCAGAGAAGCAUCUGCUGCCAAUUAGUUACAUUCUUUUGAACUCUUUGUUCACCAGUUUCUGUUUUGUUUAUUCUCAGGCUGAAGCAAGCUGUUUUGAUUUUGCCCGGAUUAAACUCCGGUUUAAUCCGGUUUAUCUUUUGAAUGUUUUUCUUGCCCCUUUUUGCUUUUUAAGGCCAGCGUUGCCUAGCCCUUGUCUUUUACGGGCAUUUUGAGUUCUGUAAAUCCAAUAAACUCUGUUAUCUUUGA